GACGAACGCUGGCGGCGUGCUUAACACAUGCAAGUCGAACGGAAAGGCCCUGCUUUUGUGGGGUGCUCGAGUGGCGAACGGGUGAGUAACACGUGAGUAACCAGCCCUUGACUUUGGGAUAACUUCAGGAAACUGGGGCUAAUACCGGAUAGGAGCUCCUGCUGCAUGGUGGGGGUUGGAAAGUUUCGGCGGUUGGGGAUGGACUCGCGGCUUAUCAGCUUGUUGGUGGGGUAGUGGCUUACCAAGGCUUUGACGGGUAGCCGGCCUGAGAGGGUGACCGGCCACAUUGGGACUGAGAUACGGCCCAGACUCCUACGGGAGGCAGCAGUGGGGAAUAUUGCACAAUGGGCGGAAGCCUGAUGCAGCAACGCCGCGUGCGGGAUGACGGCCUUCGGGUUGUAAACCGCUUUCGCCUGUGACGAAGCGUGAGUGACGGUAAUGGGUAAGGAAGCACCGGCUAACUACGUG
RNAcentral lists this ribosomal RNA (468 nucleotides) under uncultured bacterium. Its description in RNAcentral is "partial 16S ribosomal RNA". It matches the Rfam family "Bacterial small subunit ribosomal RNA", at positions 28 to 507 of the family's 1533-position model. The record is from RNAcentral.